UGGGGAAUCUUGCGCAAUGGGGGAAACCCUGACGCAGCGACGCCGCGUGCGGGAUGAAGGCCUUCGGGUUGUAAACCGCUUUCAGCAUGGACGAGGCCUUAUGGUGACGGUACCUGCAGAAGAAGCUCCGGCUAAAUACGUGCCAGCAGCCGCGGUAAUACGUAUGGAGCAAGCGUUAUCCGGAUUCAUUGGGCGUAAAGCGCUCGUAGGCGGUCUGUUAGGUCGGCAAGUUAAAUCCGGGGGCUCAACCCCCGUCCGCUUCCGAUACCGGCAGACUUGAGUUUGGUAGGGGAAGGUGGAAUUCCUAGUGUAGCGGUGGAAUGCGCAGAUAUUAGGAAGAACACCGGUGGCGAAGGCGGCCUUCUGGGCCAUAACUGACGCUGAGGAGCGAAAGCUAGGGGAGCGAACAGG
Molecule: ribosomal RNA, 411 nt
Filed under: Verrucomicrobiota bacterium
Lineage: Bacteria; Pseudomonadati; Verrucomicrobiota
Description: Verrucomicrobia bacterium partial 16S ribosomal RNA
Rfam family: Bacterial small subunit ribosomal RNA
Source: RNAcentral